Long non-coding RNA from Ictidomys tridecemlineatus (thirteen-lined ground squirrel), 1490 nucleotides. RefSeq lists it as uncharacterized. The record is from RefSeq and is a predicted model, not a curated record. Lineage: Eukaryota; Metazoa; Chordata; Mammalia; Rodentia; Sciuridae.
GGCUGCCUGCGCUCCUUGGCUCAUGGCUCCUCCCUUCGCUAGCCAGCCAUGGCCAGUCCAGUCCUCCCAUUACGGCAUCUGAAACUGACUCUCAGGGAUUACACUGAGCCCUCUGGGGUCUUCCAGGAUCAGGUCAUGUUAAGGAUUGAACUCGAUGAUGGCACUUAACCACGGAGCCACAUAUCCAGCCUUGUUCUAUUUUGAAUCUCAAGGUAGGGUUUCACUAAGUGGUGAGGGCCUCCAUAAGUUGCGAGGCUAGCCUCAAACUUGUGAUACCUCUGUCUCCACCUCCCGAGCUGCUGGCAUUAUAGGCCUGUGCCUCCGUCCUGGGCUUCUCUCCUGCUUUAAAAAGGUGGCUGUCUGCCAACUGAAGCCCUGGGAGAAGGAAGCAUUUCCGUUCGGGGAACGCCUGCUGUGGGUGCCGAGGACUGGGCCGGCAUGUGCAGAGGGACCCAUAGGUUUUUACUCUCUUCUUGGACUCUGCAAAUCUCACCAAUGCUGAAAGGAAAGGCUAAGAAGUUAGAGAACCUCCUAAAGUCACAGGAUGGGAGACGGCCGAGAGGGAUUUGAACCAGCCCUUCAUGUUCCAGAGCCCACCCUCUGUCCACCCCUGCCAGCCCCCCUGGGACCGCAGCUCCUCUCACGGGCUGCCGUGGGGAUCUCCAAGCAGCCAUUCUGGGCCAAGUCCCCGGGUGCUUCUUGGGUCUCCUGUUUCUGCCUUGGAGUUCGGAUGUGGCCAGCACCACUUCCUUGCUCCCUUUAGAGACCCUGGUCAGAACAGAGUCCUGAAAUCCCCUCUGCCCCCCGUAUUCGUGGCUCAGGGUGGAGGAGGGCCCGAGGCCGAGCCUUCAGUGGCACUCAGGAUGGCCAUCGGGAUGUUGGUGACCUUGGCCACUCAGCUGCCAGCCCUCAGCCUGGGGUGGAAGAUGCCCCCCCCCGGCUGGGAUGGGGGUGCACAGCCCCCAACAGGACCCGAGCUGCUGGACCUGCAGUUUCCCCUGUGACACGGCCAAGCCAGAAUACAUUUGAGAAAACCUAACGGGAAAGGAGGAAACGCUCCCAUUAAGAAAACAAAUCCAAGCUCCUUGGCGCGCCUGGGACGCCCGCGUGACAGUGUGGUCAUCUUUAUUAACUUUCCAUCCCGCUCAGAUCUCCAGCGCCUGCACAAUUAUCAGAGCCAGGCGAUCGAUACCUCAUUAAUGGCGAAGCUCCGGGGAGGACGCGCCAACCAGGCCCUUCUGAAGUGCAUCCCUCUCUUUCUGGGGUCUCUUGAUGGCCUGUUCCUUGCAGACAGGCAAAACCCUCAGAGCUGGGGGUCUCGUCCCCCAGGGCGUGGUCAGCUCUGCAGACCCAGCACCCUGGCCCUCCCCUGACGAGCAGAGCCCGUCCAAAGUUUCCCGUUUCUCUCUGAUGUCAGAGAUGUUUUAACCAGCUGGGGGCAGAAUUACAUUCUGGAAAUUACAGGGGCUGAGGGAAAAAAAAAAAAAAUA